Octopus bimaculoides (California two-spot octopus) is the source of this 1493-nucleotide long non-coding RNA. RefSeq lists it as uncharacterized. The record is from RefSeq and is a predicted model, not a curated record. NCBI's taxonomy places the organism in Eukaryota, Metazoa, Mollusca, Cephalopoda, Octopoda, Octopodidae.
UGAUGAUGAUGAUGAUGAUGAUGAUGAUGAUGAUGAUGAUGAUGAUGAUAGUGGAGGUGGUGCUGAUUCGAGUUGCAUUACAUCAUUCUCGGACUUGAAACGAGCUGCUGGGAAUAAUCAACUCUCGACAUCCACCACAUUUCCACCUCCCCCGUCACCGCUACCUUUUAGCCACCCACCCACCACCCACAUAACCCUUGUCCUUAUCUCUUUUAAAAAUUGAAAAACUAAAUGUAAAAACAGCAACAACAACAACAUCAGCAACAGCAGGAAAUAAAACCAUCCUUUUGUUUAACGUCUUUGACAUCCGUUUCGUAAGAAAACCUGAGUGGAUCAGCACUUGGAGGAGGCUGAAGUUAUUUAAGGAGACAGUUACAUCUACACACACACACACACACACACACACACACACACACACACACACACUCAUAGGUGGGCAUCAGCCCAUACAUCUUUGCAUACAUAUGCAUACAUAUAUACACACACAUGUACGUAUGUAUAAAUACAGCAUCGAAAAUGUUGUCAAUCAGAUUGAAGUCUCAGCGUCUUCACGUGAAGAAGCGAAACAGAGUAACAAAGAGAGUGAGAAAUUAGCAGACGAUUUACUUCCAGCACCAUCAGAAGAACUACACAAUAAGGAAAAGACAAGAGCUUCUGAUUCUCUUCACACCAAACCAUUUCUUGUUCUUCUUCAAUCGUAUUUCUUUGUAACCAACACCCAAGAAAACAAUGCAGAGUCAUCAAUACAUCGCCGUUGUUAGUCUGCUGUUGGCUGCAUUUGUGGCACCUGGUUCCUGCCGAUGGUUUUACAACACUCAACUGAACUGCUUCACUGAGUGCAUGACUUGUCUAAUGACUGGACUUGACUGCCAGCCUCACCAACCGUUUCCUUCAGGCUAUGAAGACUGUGAAUUCAGCUGUUUCAUGUCGCCGGACGUUCUUAACGAAACCCUUCCAGCAAUUCAAAGCAGUCUGCACUUCUGCAGGGAUAUUCACAAACGAGAUCUCAACGAUCUUGGUUUGUGUAUCCGUGAACAUAUAGAAAAGUUUUAUCCAGACUUCUACAAGAAAUUACCUUGGCUGCCUCUCUAUGAAACGACGACAUAGGAAGAAUGGAAAAGAGAAGAAGAAAAAAACAGUGUAUUAGAUGUGAAAUUGCAAGAAAUAUUGCAAAUAUUUAAAGAAUUUCAAAUGCUUCAAAACUACAAAAAUAUUUUUUUAAAAACCUAUUAACAUUUAGGAUAUAUUUCUCUCUCUCUCUCUCUCACUCUCUCGGUAUAUAUCAAUACAUAUACAUGUAUAUAUACAUUAAUAUAUACAUAUAUACACACACAUGUAUAUAUAUAUAUACAGUAUGUAUGUAUAUAUAUAUAUAUAUAUAUAUCAUUAUCAUCAAUUUAUGAUUAUAUAUAUACAUAUUUAUACAUGCACAUGUAUAUAUAUAUAUCUCUCUCUCUCUCUCUCUCUAUAUAUAUAUAUAUAUAUAUAUACAU